This 67-nucleotide transfer RNA is filed under the name Marmota monax (woodchuck). RNAcentral's name for it is "tRNA.Ala". Lineage: Eukaryota; Metazoa; Chordata; Mammalia; Rodentia; Sciuridae. The record is from RNAcentral.
GAUUGUGGCUCAGUGGUAGAGCGCUUGCAUAGCACGUGUGAGGCACUGGGUUCAAUCCUCAGGACCA